AUACGUAGGAUCCGAGCGUUGUCCGGAUUUACUGGGCGUAAAGGAUGCGUAGGCGGCGUGGUAAGUCUCAUGUGAAAUCUCCCGGCUUAACUGGGAGGGGUCAUGGGAUACUGCCAUGCUCGAGGGCAGCAGAGGAGAGCGGAAUUCCGGGAGUAGCGGUGAUAUGCGUAGAUACCCGGAGGAACACCCGUGGCGAAAGCGGCUCUCUGGGCUGUACCUGACGCUAAGGCACGAAAGCGUGGGGAGCAAACCGGAUUAGAAACCCGGGUAGUCC
Molecule: ribosomal RNA, 274 nt
Filed under: uncultured bacterium
Lineage: Bacteria
Description: partial 16S ribosomal RNA
Rfam family: Bacterial small subunit ribosomal RNA
Source: RNAcentral